UCAUAUGUCAAUCCAUAUCAACUUUCGAUGCCUACCAUGGUGACCACGGGUAAUGGGGAAUUACGUACAGGGACCCUGACAAAUGGCUACCGCAUGCAAGGAAGGCAGCAGGCGCGCAAAUGACCCACUCCCGAUGCAGGAAGGUAGUGAUGA
Pelobates cultripes (western spadefoot toad) is the source of this 153-nucleotide non-coding RNA. NCBI's taxonomy places the organism in Eukaryota, Metazoa, Chordata, Amphibia, Anura, Pelobatidae. The record is from the annotation of a GenBank genome assembly.